This 404-nucleotide ribosomal RNA is filed under the name Pseudomonas sp. RNAcentral's name for it is "partial 16S ribosomal RNA". It matches the Rfam family "Bacterial small subunit ribosomal RNA", at positions 355 to 776 of the family's 1533-position model. RNAcentral also lists the same sequence under 3 other names. The record is from RNAcentral. Lineage: Bacteria; Pseudomonadati; Pseudomonadota; Gammaproteobacteria; Pseudomonadales; Pseudomonadaceae.
UGGGGAAUAUUGGACAAUGGGCGCAAGCCUGAUCCAGCCAUGCCGCGUGAGUGAUGAAGGCCCUAGGGUUGUAAAGCUCUUUCACCGGUGAAGAUAAUGACGGUAACCGGAGAAGAAGCCCCGGCUAACUUCGCGCCAGCAGCCGCGGUAAUACGAAGGGGGCUAGCGUUGUUCGGAUUUACUGGGCGUAAAGCGCACGUAGGCGGACUUUUAAGUCAGGGGUGAAAUCCCGGGGCUCAACCCCGGAACUGCCUUUGAUACUGGAAGUCUUGAGUAUGGUAGAGGUGAGUGGAAUUCCGAGUGUAGAGGUGAAAUUCGUAGAUAUUCGGAGGAACACCAGUGGCGAAGGCGGCUCACUGGACCAUUACUGACGCUGAGGUGCGAAAGCGUGGGGAGCAAACAGG